GAGGUUGUGGCUUAGGGGUAGAGUGCUUGCCUAGCAUGCAAGAGGCACUGGGUUUGAUCCUCAGCACCACA
This 71-nucleotide transfer RNA is filed under the name Marmota monax (woodchuck). Its description in RNAcentral is "tRNA.Ala". It matches the Rfam family "tRNA". Rfam says of the family: Transfer RNA (tRNA) molecules are approximately 80 nucleotides in length. The record is from RNAcentral. Lineage: Eukaryota; Metazoa; Chordata; Mammalia; Rodentia; Sciuridae.